GAUGAACGCUGGCGGCGUGCCUAAUACAUGCAAGUCGAGCGAACAGACGAGGAGCUUGCUCCUCUGACGUUAGCGGCGGACGGGUGAGUAACACGUGGAUAACCUACCUAUAAGACUGGGAUAACUUCGGGAAACCGGAGCUAAUACCGGAUAAUAUAUUGAACCGCAUGGUUCAAUAGUGAAAGACGGUUUUGCUGUCACUUAUAGAUGGAUCCGCGCCGCAUUAGCUAGUUGGUAAGGUAACGGCUUACCAAAGCAACGAUGCGUAGCCGACCUGAGAGGGUGAUCGGCCACCCUGGAACUGAGACACGGUCCAGACUCCUACGGGAGGCAGCAGUAGGGAAUCUUCCGCAAUGGGCGAAAGCUUGACGGGGCAACGCCGCGUGAGUGAUGAAGGUCUUCGGAUCGUAAAACUCUGUUAUUAGGGAAGAACAAAUGUGUAAGUAACUAUGCACGUCUUGACGGUACCUAAUCAGAAAGCCACGGCUAACUACGUG
This 497-nucleotide ribosomal RNA is filed under the name uncultured bacterium. RNAcentral describes it as "partial 16S ribosomal RNA". It matches the Rfam family "Bacterial small subunit ribosomal RNA", at positions 28 to 507 of the family's 1533-position model. The record is from RNAcentral.